AACGCACCUUGCGCUCCUUGGCAUUCCGAGGAUGCACGCCUGUUUGAGUGUCAUAAAAAUUCUCAAAUCCACUUCCUGGAGAGCUGGGUUUGGAUCAGUGGAGGCAUUAUGAGGGUUGCUUCACUGCUGAAGCUCCCCACUCCUCCAAAAUGCAACGAUUAAGUGAGGGCUGCGAUUGUCGCAUGUCUGUCGCCACUGGCAUGGUUAAAUUGCUCUUACCUUAUGCCGGUGACACAAAAGGGACUGCCUUUCCACCCUUGGGCUCUCGUUUGCGCCUUUUGUGUGCACUCCACAAUGGUGACAAUUUUGACCUCAAAUCAGGCGGGACUACCCGCUGAACUUAA
RNAcentral lists this unclassified non-coding RNA (344 nucleotides) under uncultured fungus. Its description in RNAcentral is "partial contains 5.8S ribosomal RNA, internal transcribed spacer 2, and large subunit ribosomal RNA". The record is from RNAcentral. Lineage: Eukaryota; Fungi.